GGGUGGUUAGUUUAAUGGUAAAAUAUCCCGUUCACAUCGGGAAGAGCAUAGGUUCGAUUCCUAUACUACCCA
RNAcentral lists this transfer RNA (72 nucleotides) under bacterium. RNAcentral's name for it is "tRNA-Val". It matches the Rfam family "tRNA". From Rfam's summary of the family: Transfer RNA (tRNA) molecules are approximately 80 nucleotides in length. Their secondary structure includes four short double-helical elements and three loops (D, anti-codon, and T loops). The record is from RNAcentral.